AUGCUGCCCCCGCCGCGAAACACUCGAACCUGCCCAUCCCACGCCGGCGACCGCACCACACUUCCGAUGCCGCCACCCGCGCCUAGUCCGGACCCGUACCGCGACUGGGCCGACCUGCCGGAGCUGCCGCUGGCGGAGGUGCUCCGCCGCCUCCUUCCCUGCAUCCGCUCGCUCUACGCCUUCGCGGGGACGUGCCGCCCCUGGCGACACCUGCUCCGCGCCUCCGCCGCCGAUCUCGUCCGCCCCCGCGUCCCGCCGCUCCUCCUCCUCUGCCCCGACUUCCGCCUGGUGCCCUUCUCCCCGCUCGUCGCCCCCCAACCCCUCUCCUACCCCAUCCCCGCCCCGGCGGACGGCGCCACGCUCCUCUCCGCCUCACGCGGCCACCUAAUCCUCCUCCGCCGGGGCUCCUUCAAUAGCCUACACCUCGUGGACGCCCUCACCGGCGCCGAGCGCCGCGCGCUCCAGCUCCCUUCCCCGCACUUCCCCUAUCACUACGCCGCGCUCACGCCCUCCCACCUCCUGCUCUUCCACUCCAUGCACGCCUUCUUCUCGCUCCCCUUCCCCGAGCAUCCAAGCCCCAACAACAACAACGCCCGCCCCGACUGGACCAAGCACGCCCUCCCCCGCGCCGCCUCCAUCGUCACGACCGUCAUCGAAUUCCGCGGGCGCGUCCUCGGUCUGACCGACCGCGCGCAGAUACUGGAGUUCCACCUUGGUGGCGCCCCUUCGAACCAGGCCGUCCGAUUGCUGCCAACCACCGGCCUCCCGGACGCCACCAGAUUCGACAGAUUGCAGUUCGGGCCGCAUUUGGUUGCUGCCGGGGAUCGACUGCUGCUGGUGCUCUUCAUGUUUGAAGCAAACUUGGGCCCCGUGGUGUUCCGUGCGCCCAGGGUGAACAAGAUCGGUGUGUACGCGCUUGAUUUGGCGCGCAUGAUGUGGGAGGAAGUGGACAACAUUGGGGCUUACACCUUGUUCGUGGACAUUGCCGGGAGGAGCACCGUGGCCUGUGUGGACGUGGGCAACUGCGGAGUGGAGGAGAACCGAGUUUAUGUUGGCGUGCCCAACUGCCGUGCCUGGAGGAGGCCACUACCACCAGGGUGGGAGGCAUCACCCAACGGUGAAGGGCUUGGAUUGAACUCGAGGGAGACGAUGGCGCGCCGACCAUUGGCAUCACCGAUAUCGGUUCAUCCACCUCUUUUCUUUUGA
This 1206-nucleotide ribosomal RNA is filed under the name Triticum aestivum (bread wheat). RNAcentral describes it as "partial small subunit ribosomal RNA". Lineage: Eukaryota; Viridiplantae; Streptophyta; Magnoliopsida; Poales; Poaceae. The record is from RNAcentral.